UGGCCACCUGCAUGAUCAGGGUAAGG
RNAcentral lists this non-coding RNA (26 nucleotides) under Mus musculus (house mouse). Lineage: Eukaryota; Metazoa; Chordata; Mammalia; Rodentia; Muridae. The record is from RNAcentral.